UACGGAGGAUGCGAGCGUUAUCCGGAUUUAUUGGGUUUAAAGGGUGCGUAGGCGGUCCGUUAAGUCAGCGGUAAAAUUGCGGGGCUCAACCCCGUCGAGCCGUUGAAACUGGCAGACUUGAGUUGGCGAGAAGUACGCGGAAUGCGCGGUGUAGCGGUGAAAUGCAUAGAUAUCGCGCAGAACUCCGAUUGCGAAGGCAGCGUACCGGCGCCCAACUGACGCUGAAGCACGAAGGCGUGGGUAUCGAACAGG
This 252-nucleotide ribosomal RNA is filed under the name uncultured bacterium. Its description in RNAcentral is "partial 16S ribosomal RNA". It matches the Rfam family "Bacterial small subunit ribosomal RNA", at positions 524 to 776 of the family's 1533-position model. The record is from RNAcentral.